Molecule: long non-coding RNA, 1605 nt
Organism: Heterocephalus glaber (naked mole-rat)
Lineage: Eukaryota; Metazoa; Chordata; Mammalia; Rodentia; Bathyergidae
Source: RefSeq, a predicted model, not a curated record
GUAACAACGCGCAUUGAAACUCGAGCGGGCUAAUGCACUACGGAAACUUGGUAGAGUCAAAAAGAAUUUAAACGCGAAUCUCUCCUCCCACCUACACUUCUUCCUGGAGUGAGUUACUGGUUUGUUGCCGCCCCCCAUUGGGCAGACGAGCUGCUGCAAGAGCUCAGCUUCCUGGAACGCAAGGAAGGAGUCUCUCUCCCCCAUGCUCUGUUUCUUGGAUGAGAAAGAAAAUGAAAGUGGAAGGAAGACAUGCUAUGGUGAUGGGGCAGGGUUUUCUGUUCUGUUUCUUCUGAGCCAAGAUAAGAUGGGACUCCUUCUGCACAGUGAGCAUGUACAGUCACGCAGGGCUGGACACUUGGGAGGGAGUCUGGAAGAGGCAGUGAAUUUGGCUGAAGAGCCCCAUGGCCAGCUGUGCCAUCUUGGUGGCGAGUGGGCUGCCUUUCUGAGCAUCUCUCAAGUUGUUCCGCUGUUGCCAUGGCAGAUCCCACAGUGGUGCCCUUGGGAGCAUGCGCAGUGUGACUGGAGUGGGGGUGGGGAGAGCAGGGGGACUCGUCUCCCUGGAAAAAGAACUGGUACAAUCUGAUUUCAUGUGGGAGAGAGGUUCGGCCACCGCUCCUCAGAUGUCUCUCAGUUCUACUGAAAUUUGGCCCCAGUUCAAGUUGACUACAGCUGGGUUUGGAUGUCAAAAUGUCCCAUUUAGGGACUGGAGAAAGGAGAUGGAAUUGAGUGUUUCAUUUGCAAACCCUCUGUCAUCUAGGUAAUUCUUUUGCUAACAUUGUCCCAAAAUCUUAGCUGAACAUGGUGGUGCCUGUAAUCCCUGCACUCUGGGCGGCUGGCCAGAGGACGGUAAGUUCAACCCCAGCCCGGACAACUUAGUGACUUGGUGAGAGACCCUGUCUCAAAAUAAAAAAUUAGAAAAGGGCUGAGGAUGUAGCUCGUUAUGAAGGCCUUUAAACAAGAGCAACAAACCCCCUACCUCUUCCACUUACAGAGCACACACGCAGGUGGAAUAAGUGUGGGAGUGGGGAGAUAGCUAAUCUAGGGGGAGGUUUCUGAUGGCUCGGAAACUGGCUAAGUCAGGAUAAGAAUGAAUAACUGAAGGUUGCUCUUCUGUUCUACCCCCCACUCCCUUGUUUGUUUUUGAGGCAAGGGCUUGCUAUACAGCUCAGGUAGGCCUGAACUCACCAUGUCGCCCAGGUGGGCCUCAAGUGCUGGCACUGCAAGCAUGCACUACCACACCUGGCUCCCCCCAUUGAAAAAAAUCAGUGUAAACUGUUGAACUCGAAGUCAUUCUACUAUGAUGAAGUAUCCAAAAUUUUAAAUGAAUACGAGCAUUUUCCUUCUGGAUUUAUUCAGGAAAUUCCUCAUUCCCUUUUUGUCUUGCCCAGGGAAAGCCAUUUCUAUCAAAGUGAAGUUCCCUCUUGGACUGAGGAAUCCACCUAAGCUUGGUUCUUCUUUCAUGCUUCUUCUGACAGAAGCAAGCAGAGAACCACUGUAAGAAAUAAAAGGAGGGCCGGGGAUUUAGCUCAGUGGUUCCAGCGCCUGCCUCGAAAGCGCAAGGUCCCAAGUUCUAUCCUCGGUACCAAAAAAAAAAAAGAAAUAAAA